AUUAUUUGAGCGCCACUGAUUAGUCUUUUGUAAACAAAAAGCAGGUGUGCAAAGUUUUAGUUCUGGUAUCUAUGAUGAGUUUAUUUACAACCACUGGGUCAAUGCCACUGCUGGUGGAGGUCUUUUUUCCCAGAGGGUAUCACCAGCCCAGUAGUCAGCACUUCUGUGUUGACAUGAGUUAUUGAUAAGAUAAUAAAAGAA
Molecule: long non-coding RNA, 201 nt
Filed under: Mytilus galloprovincialis (Mediterranean mussel)
Lineage: Eukaryota; Metazoa; Mollusca; Bivalvia; Mytilida; Mytilidae
Source: RNAcentral